CAUGUACUACCUCCGUCCCAAAAUUCUUGUCUUUGAUUUGUCUAAAUAUGAAUGUAUCUAGUCAUGUAUUAGUAUUUAGAUACAUUCAUUUCUAAAAAAAUCUAAGACAAUAAUUUUGGGACGGAGGGAGUAUUUG
RNAcentral lists this microRNA precursor (136 nucleotides) under Hordeum vulgare. RNAcentral's name for it is "microRNA MIR1122". It matches the Rfam family "MIR1120/MIR1122 microRNA precursor family". The record is from RNAcentral. Lineage: Eukaryota; Viridiplantae; Streptophyta; Magnoliopsida; Poales; Poaceae.